Molecule: ribosomal RNA, 301 nt
Filed under: uncultured bacterium
Lineage: Bacteria
Description: partial 16S ribosomal RNA
Rfam family: Bacterial small subunit ribosomal RNA
Source: RNAcentral
CAGCAGCCUCGGGAAUACGAGGGGGGCAAGCGUUGUUCGGAAUUAUUGGGCGUAAAGGGUGCGUAGGCGGUUUGGCAAGUCUGGUGUGAAAUCUUCGGGCUCAACUCGAAGUCUGCAUCGAAAACUGCCGGGCUUGAGUACGGGAGAGGUGAGUGGAAUUUCCGGUGUAGCGGUGAAAUGCGUAGAUAUCGGAAGGAACACCUGUGGCGAAAGCGGCUCACUGGACCAUAACUGACGCUGAUGCACGAAAGCUAGGGGAGCAAACAGGAUUAGAUACCCCGGUAGUCCCUGUCUCUUAUAC